This 906-nucleotide long non-coding RNA is filed under the name Equus caballus (horse). RNAcentral's name for it is "lncRNA (ENSECAG00000057313.1)". Lineage: Eukaryota; Metazoa; Chordata; Mammalia; Perissodactyla; Equidae. The record is from RNAcentral.
GGUUCUAUAUGGAAAAGGGCUGCAUCCUCAGGAGGUGAAAUGAAAGCAGAGAUCAAAAACUCAGAGAUAGCAGGAGACUCCUAGAAGCAGAGGUUUUGAGAAACUUAAACCUCCAUGCCACCCACCUUCCUCUUGACAAGAAACAGGACUUCCGUCCCCAGGUUUCCAAGAAUGAUUAAGAACAAGCUGCAUAAAAAUUAUGACACGUAAUUUUCUGGACUAUGGACUAAAAUGAACUGCUCCACCGAGACGGUGCUCUGUCUUUGGGAAGAUGCUGCAAUAAAUAAAAGUGUGGAAAUCAAGUGGCUGGCACCCUGCCAAGACGCCCUGUACAGUGAGUGCACAUGUGCUGGACACGACACAAUGACCUAAAAGAAACACAGAGAUACUGCUGGAAUAGUUCAGUGAAUAUAGUUCAGUGAAUACCACUGCUUCAGCGAGGAGUAAGUCAUGUAAUAAGGCAGGAUGGAAACAGAAUUAACCUUUAAAACUUGGAAAUGGAGUACCGGAGAAUUAAAUUAACAGAAGUGCAUAGACAAGUUCUGGGAAAACCCACGGUGGAUGCCUUUGGUCAGGUCGAGAGCCAUGUGAGGACACAGCAAGAAGGCAGCCAUCUGCAGGCCAGGAAGAGAGCCCUCACCAGAAGCCAACCCUAAACCACUUUGAUCUUGGACCUCUAGAACUGGGGAGAAAAUACAUUUCUGGUGUUUAAGCCACACAGUCUGCGGGGUUUUGUUAUGGCGGCCCUAGCAGGCUAUUACAGAGACCUUCCCGUCUGGAUGGCACCAACACCGAUUUAUGAUAACCAUGGCCAAAUGAGGAGCAGCACCCUGCCGGUUCCUGACUAAAUGUCAUUGGAGAAAUGGAUUGACUGGAAGAAGCAGAGUGUGGUGAUUCAUGGAUAUG